GGGGAUUAGUGGCGAACGGGUGAGUAACACGUGGGCAAUCUGCCCUGCACUCUGGGACAAGCCCUGGAAACGGGGUCUAAUACCGGAUACUGACCCGCUUGGGCAUCCAAGCGGUUCGAAAGCUCCGGCGGUGCAGGAUGAGCCCGCGGCCUAUCAGCUUGUUGGUGAGGUAAUGGCUCACCAAGGCGACGACGGGUAGCCGGCCUGAGAGGGCGACCGGCCACACUGGGACUGAGACACGGCCCAGACUCCUACGGGAGGCAGCAGUGGGGAAUAUUGCACAAUGGGCGAAAGCCUGAUGCAGCGACGCCGCGUGAGGGAUGACGGCCUUCGGGUUGUAAACCUCUUUCAGCAGGGAAGAAGCGAAAGUGACGGUACCUGCAGAAGAAGCGCCGGCUAACUACGUGCCAGCAGCCGCGGUAAUACGUAGGGCGCGAGCGUUGUCCGGAAUUAUUGGGCGUAAAGAGCUCGUAGGCGGCUUGUCACGUCGGUUGUGAAAGCCCGGGGCUUAACCCCGGGUCUGCAGUCGAUACGGGCAGGCUAGAGUUCGGUAGGGGAGAUCGGAAUUCCUGGUGUAGCGGUGAAAUGCGCAGAUAUCAG
RNAcentral lists this ribosomal RNA (600 nucleotides) under Streptomyces sp. SCAU7025. RNAcentral's name for it is "bacterial SSU rRNA". It matches the Rfam family "Bacterial small subunit ribosomal RNA", at positions 87 to 700 of the family's 1533-position model. The record is from RNAcentral. Lineage: Bacteria; Bacillati; Actinomycetota; Actinomycetes; Kitasatosporales; Streptomycetaceae.